UACCAAGUGAGCUUCCCUGGCUGCAGCAGUCCUCUGCUGGCACCCGACCCCUUCAACACACACACAGACAGCCCUGCGCCCUUGGAUCUGAGGCAUCAUCCAGAGCUCAGCUCAGUUCCUAGUACACGAACCGCACAGAUCCGUAUCUGGCAUCUCCGUCUGAUGACAGUAGCAGCUGCACCAACCAUCUGAAUGGCCCAGAAGAUGGAAGCCUGAAGGAGAGAAUAGCGCCCUGAGACUGUCUGUGCCUUCUGCAUUGAACCUCAGCUUCUGAGGCCACCUACUGGAGAUUGCUGCCAAUUUCCAGAACAGAAAAUCCAAGUCCACUCUCCAGCCGUCUUCAAGCCAGGAAGCUGUGAGAGGAACACUUUCAUUGUUGCUUUUUCUUCCAAUGAGAUCACCUUUCAACUUAGCAUUCAUGCCUGCCUUCUGGACUUCUGAGGACUAUGAGAAUGUUGAUAAGGUGAAUGCAACCAUAAAGGCUGAAGCCGCCCAUCUGGAGGCUCCUCUGUCCUCCACAGUGGCCUUGAUAAUAGUGUUGAUAAUUAUUUUCUCAUUGGUAAUGACCUCCUUUGUGACAUACUGUUUUCACAAGUGGAGGCUGAAGGGCCGCAAGCUGCAGAGAGCGCAGGAAGAGUAUCAAAGAGAUCAGGAGAAAAAUAUAUUUCAUAGCUUUCCUGAUCUUAUUUCCUAAAAACGCAGUCAACUGACAUGUGAAGUGUACCAUCUGUGACAAAGCCACGUAACAUAAUAUGACAAGAAAUGAAACAACAUGAAAUUGCAAGAAAGAAAGAAAUUGGGCAUGAAACAAUAAAAAGGGACAUAAUAUGAAAUAAAACCCUGGGCAACAAAAUGACAUACUGCAGAACAACAUGAAGAGAAAGGACAGAAGAAUGACAAUUGUACAGUGAAUUCCAAAAGCAAGAGUUCAUGUUGUAGCUGAUCUGUUAAUCAAGCUGUUCAUUGUUUGAAAGCUGUCUAUGGUUUUAUUACAGGUUAUAAGCAACUUGGUAGUAGGUUUCUUUUUGUCGUUGUUUUGUUGUACAGUGAAAGCAAAGCUAUCACACAUUUCCCACCUACAUUUUAUUUACUCUUCAUCUUUGAUUUGGUGGUGGGUGUGAGUAAAUAGAAGUUCUGUACUGCUCAUUUACUUACCGAGGCCGGGCAGCUGAAUACACAGAUAGGAAUGUUGUUUAGUAUCAGGCUCAUAAUGUAGUAAUAUCUGUCAUGAAGAUGAGAAAAAGUAAGUCUAUAAUCUUGGCACAUGUAGCUGAUAUUUUAAGUACUGACUAUAGCAAAGUAAGUAAAUGUGCUGAAUUAUAAGCAAUGUGUGUGGUUUUUUUUUUUAUUUAAAGGGAGAGGAAAAAAGAGAACCAACUCCCAAAUGACCAAUUACCCCAUUUCCCUGAAGUUCCCUGAAGUUUUUCUUAAGUAAUGGCUUGCCUGAAGUUAAUAUUAAUUAAUGUUGUCCAUGUUUGAAGCAGAAUUAGUAUGUGAUAAUAGUGCUGUAUGUAUACUUGUUUUGAUAAGACAAAGUUGUCAUUAUAAUGUGAAUGAGAUCAUUUUAAGGCUUAUGUGUUCAAGUAGUGUUGACAAUUGAAAUCUGAAAAUUUUCUGGAUGUUGUAAAUGAAAUCUACUAAGUAAUAUAUAGAUUUAUUAUAGAAUGUAUUGUGGAACAUACCAGUUAUUGGAUAUGAAAGCAAAUAAGCAAGCAGUCAUACUUUAAAUAUAUGCAUUAUAAAUAAAAUGCUAGUAUUUGGAUGCUAA
This is a long non-coding RNA of Phyllostomus hastatus (greater spear-nosed bat), 1768 nucleotides long. RefSeq lists it as uncharacterized. The transcript has 3 exons. The record is from RefSeq and is a predicted model, not a curated record. NCBI's taxonomy places the organism in Eukaryota, Metazoa, Chordata, Mammalia, Chiroptera, Phyllostomidae.